RNAcentral lists this ribosomal RNA (491 nucleotides) under uncultured bacterium. Its description in RNAcentral is "SSU rRNA". It matches the Rfam family "Bacterial small subunit ribosomal RNA", at positions 26 to 518 of the family's 1533-position model. The record is from RNAcentral.
AGGACGAACGCUGGCGGCGUGCCUAACACAUGCAAGUGGAGCGACGAACCAGGCUUCGGCCUGGGGCAGAGCCGCGAACGGGUGAGUAACACGUGGGUUACCUGCCUCGAUGACCGGGACAACCCGAGGAAACUCGGGCUAAUACCGGAUGUGCCCGCAAGGGGAAAGGAAGCUUCGGCCUCCGCAUCGAGAUGGGCCCGCGGCCCAUUAGCUUGUUGGUGAGGUAACGGCUCACCAAGGCUUCGAUGGGUAGCUGGUCUGAGAGGACGAUCAGCCACACUGGGACUGAGACACGGCCCAGACUCCUACGGGAGGCAGCAGUGGGGAAUCUUGCGCAAUGCGCGAAAGCGUGACGCAGCAACGCCGCGUGGGGGAAGAAGGCUUUCGGGUGUAAACCCCUUUCAGUUGGGACGAAGCUUCUCCGGUGAAUAGCCGGACGGAGUGACGGUACCUUCACAAGAAGCACCGGCUAACUACGUGCCAGCAGCCGC